This 362-nucleotide ribosomal RNA is filed under the name uncultured bacterium. RNAcentral describes it as "bacterial SSU rRNA". It matches the Rfam family "Bacterial small subunit ribosomal RNA", at positions 990 to 1351 of the family's 1533-position model. The record is from RNAcentral.
CACGACCGGUUCAGAGAUGGACUUUCCCCGCAAGGGGCGUGGUGCACAGGUGCUGCAUGGCUGUCGUCAGCUCGUGUCGUGAGAUGUUGGCUUAAGUCCCGCAACGAGCGCAACCCUCGCCUUUAGUUGCCAGCACGUUUGGGUGGGCGCUCUAGAGGAACUGCCGGUGACAAGCCGGAGGAAGGUGGGGAUGACGUCAAGUCCUCAUGGCCCUUAUGGGCUGGGCUACACACGUGCUACAAUGGCGGUGACAACGGGAAGCCAGGCAGCGAUGUCGAGCCGAUCCCGAAAAGCCGUCUCAGUUCAGAUCGCAGCCUGCAACUCGGCUGCGUGAAGGUGGAAUCGCUAGUAAUCGCGGAUCA